Molecule: ribosomal RNA, 513 nt
Filed under: uncultured bacterium
Lineage: Bacteria
Description: partial 16S ribosomal RNA
Rfam family: Bacterial small subunit ribosomal RNA
Source: RNAcentral
GACGAACGCUGGCGGCAUGCCUAAUACAUGCAAGUCGAGCGAACAGAUGAAGUGCUUGCACUUCUGACGUUAGCGGCGCACGGGUGAGUAACACGUAAGGAAUCUACCUAUAAGCGGGGGAUAACAUUCGGACACGGGUGCUAAUACCGCACAAUAUCUUCUUCCGCAUGGAAGAAGAUUGCAUGACGGCUCUGCUGUCACUUAUAGAUGACCUUGCGGUGCAUUAGUUAGUUGGUGGGGUAAUGGCCUACCAAGACGAUGAUGCAUAGCCGACCUGAGAGGGUGAUCGGCCACAUUGGGACUGAGACACGGCCCAAACUCCUACGGGAGGCAGCAGUAGGGAAUCUUCCGCAAUGGGCGAAAGCCUGACGGAGCAAUGCCGCGUGAGUGAAGAAGGCCUUCGGAUCGUAAAACUCUGUUAUAAGAGAAGAACAAAUUGUAGAGUAACUGCUACAGUCUUGACGGUAUCUUAUCAGAAAGCCACGGCUAACUACGUGCCAGCAGCCGCGGUAA